RNAcentral lists this ribosomal RNA (462 nucleotides) under Triticum aestivum (bread wheat). RNAcentral describes it as "partial small subunit ribosomal RNA". Lineage: Eukaryota; Viridiplantae; Streptophyta; Magnoliopsida; Poales; Poaceae. The record is from RNAcentral.
AUGGCGCCUGCCUGCCACCUAUCGGCUGCCGCCGUCGUCGUGGCGCUCCUCCUGCUCGCCGGCGGCCGGGGCGCCGAGGCGGGGGCGGACACGAGCGACUGCCGCGUCGCGCAGAUCGCGUUCGGCGAAUGCACCGACUACAUCACCAGCUUCGAGGACGGCCCGGUCCUGGUCUUCCCCCAGCCCCGCUGCUGCAAGGGGCUCCGCACCAUCAGCGACUUGGCAACCACCAGUACCAGGGAACAGCGGCGGGAGCUCUGCGAGUGCGUGCGCUCGGUCAUGGUCGCCGCCGGCAACCUGAACCCCCGCCACGUCGAGAUGCUCCGCUACGGUGCCGGGUGCGCCUUCAGGGCCGACUUCCUCCCAUCCCCCUCCUCCAACUACAGCUGCUCCCGGUACGUGUUCGUCUCUACUACAUAUAGUCGCUAUAUAUCUACUCCCUCCGUUUUUAAAUAUUUCUAA